RNAcentral lists this long non-coding RNA (758 nucleotides) under Mytilus galloprovincialis (Mediterranean mussel). Lineage: Eukaryota; Metazoa; Mollusca; Bivalvia; Mytilida; Mytilidae. The record is from RNAcentral.
UUUUUUCUCUGACUGUUUAUGACGUCUUUACACUAAAUCCAUUGGAUGUUGGAUGUGUACUGAUUGAUAAUUUAGUCUUAGAUGCAUUAUAUUUUUAUUAGUUGUUAUUGGCUUUGAACAAGGUGUCAGUAACUGCAAGUACUCUCAGAUCUGUACUUUGUGUCUUUUGGUUGUUGGGAUAAAGAAGUACCUGAUCGCGCGUUUUUGUUAUAUAUAUUUCUAUUUCUAUGUUCCAUCCCGCCACAUUCUGUAUGUAUUUGCCUGUCCCAUGUCAAGAGCAUGUAAUUGAGUAUGGGCUUUGCUCAUUGUUGAAGGUCGUACAGUGACUUAUAGUUGUUAAUUUCUGUGUUAUUUGGUCUUUUGUGGAGAAUUGUCUCAUUGGCAAUCAUAUCACAAUUUAUUUUUUUUGAUAUUUGAAAUCAGAAUUUCAAAAGGGAUGUCUAUAAACAACUUUACCACUACGAACUUACUAUGAAACAUUUACUUAAUAUUAUCACCAAUACAUAUACUUAUAGAGGGAGGUAAAAUGACUCUUUUAACUGAAUUCAAUAACAAGAGAAUAAAAAAAGUGUGUGUAGCUCGCCUGGAUCUUCAACAAAAGUAUGCUUUUGUUAAAACACCAUGAGAGGGCAAAUACUCUAUAAAGAUUUAAGUGACAGUCAUUCCAACAAACUUGUACAUUUUGUCUUGCUGAACAUUUUUGAUUUAUGCAAUUUCUAUCUACAUUUGUAUCUACAAAAAAAUAAAUUCCGAAAAUG